RNAcentral lists this ribosomal RNA (403 nucleotides) under uncultured bacterium. Its description in RNAcentral is "bacterial SSU rRNA". It matches the Rfam family "Bacterial small subunit ribosomal RNA", at positions 355 to 774 of the family's 1533-position model. The record is from RNAcentral.
UCGGGAAUAUUGCGCAAUGGAGGAAACUCUGACGCAGUGACGCCGCGUAUGGGAAGAAGGUUUUCGGAUUGUAAACCAUUUUAGACAGGGAAGAAGAAGUGACAGUACCUGUAAAAUAAGCUCCGGCUAACUACGUGCCAGCAGCCGCGGUAAUACGUAGGUGGCAAGCGUUAUCCGGAAUUAUUGGGCGUAAAGGGUGCGUAGGCGGCAUGAUAAGUCUGAAGUAAAAGCCAAUGGCUCAACCAUUGUAAGCUUUGGAAACUGUCAAGCUAGAGUACAGGAGAGGUUAGUGGAAUUCCAUGUGUAGCGGUAAAAUGCGUAGAUAUAUGGAGGAACACCAGUGGCGAAGGCGGCUAACUGGCCUGUAACUGACGCUGAAGCACGAAAGCGUGGGGAGCAAAUA